ACUCACGCCACUUUUCCCUCUUUUUUUGCCCAAACCCAUAAUUUUCCCACUUUUCUUUCUUUUUAUCAUAGGAAUUACAAAGCUAGGGUAUACGUGAAAUUGAGCAGUUGAAACUCUGUGAAGUAUUAAGCCUUGUGUUCCUCUCUACAACCUAGGGUUUCAUUCUUCUUCUUCUCAAGGUAAGCUCUAAUCUUGUAGUACUAUUGUGAAAUUGGGUACCUUUUUUAUACUCCAAUUAUCUUUUUGUUUUUCAUGUAUUGGUUUUUUUUAUAAUUACAUAUACUACAAUUUUAUAAUUAUAUUCAGAUUUUAACAUUGCUGAUGAAUGUAGAGGAGUUGCUUUUAUUUAUUUAUUUAUUGAAUAUUGCUCGUUAUAUGUCAACUGUGUGUAUUCUCUUAUAGAGCAGAUUAUUUUUCAACUGGGUUUGAUUUUGAAUUACAUUCAGUUUUUCUGUUGUUUCCGUUUUAGCAUCCCUAUUUCUUCUACUAUUCUUGAACAAGACUAUUAUUGCAUGAGAAGUCUAAAUUAUGGUCUUCAAAAUUAUUAAUUAUUUUUGAAGCAAAAUUAGGAGAAAUCCACUUCCAUUAAAAACCAUGUCGAUAUGUAUAUGUAUCAUAGUUAUGGUCUAAUUAACUAUUCUAUAGCUUAUAAAAGAGAAAGAGUAAAGGAAAACUAACAAAGUUAUAUCUUAAGCAGAAUUUACAGGGUUUGUUUGUAUUUAGUUUUGAAAAUAUUUUUCUGUGACCUAUGUGUUUCCAUUGGAUUUUAAUAAAAUUAAUGAUAAGUUUUUCUGUUCUUUUACCCCAAAGAGCUUAAAAAUAUACUAUUUCACUGAAUUGCUAUACAAUCAUGGAUGAGAUUUAUUACCAACAUGAUGACAUAUAAGUGAAGCUAUACUGAUAAUUCUGCUAAUUGGAGUUUAGUUUGACCUUAUUUGUGUUGCUUUAAGUACUACAUCAUGAGUUAGACUCCAUAUUUAGAGUCCCUUAGUUUUAAGAAUCAUGUUAACAGAGAACUUGAAGUAAGUGAUGACUUUGUUCACGUGCUAUGUGCUAUCAGAUGUUGAAACAAUUAGAAAAUCACGUCUUGUUGUAUGAAUAUUAAGAAUGCACUUUUUACUUAAAAUAUUGGUGAGUGGUGUAUCAGUAAAGAACAUAUGAUUUUGGACAUAAAAGUUAAGCUUCAGGUGAAGUAUUUUGUUAAACCUUAAAUCCUCCAAUCCUUUUUUAUCACAUGCUUCCUUCUAUAGUAUUCUUUCUCUUCAGUUGUACUGUAUAUCUGUAUCAUAUUAGUUUAAAAUGAAGAUUGCAAAAGCACUACUAUUUUUUGGAAAAGCUAAAGAGUUGAAAGGUGGUAACUCCUCAAAAGUUGCAUUGUUGGAAUAGUUGAAUGCUACUGUAAAAGAAAAUAAAUCACUAAAAGGAUGUUUGGAAGGGCUAGAGAGUAAAUAUGAUGAGCUAGGGAGUAAAUACACACAACAUGCAAAGAUAGUGUUUGAUCAGCCUUCAUCAACAUCUUCAAGUGAUCCAUAGAUUGAAUCAUUUAAUAGGUUAGUAAUUGAAAAUCCUAUUUUACUCUAUGAUGAAAAUAUUGCAACGCUCAUGUGAAUUUUUUCUUUAUGUCAUUAACAUUUAUGAAUAAAUAAAAACAUAGUUAAUGAAACAAGUGAAUUUAAGCAAGAAUGAAGUUUCAAAUAUUAUGUACAUGGUGCACUUGUGCUUGCUAACAUACCAGGAGAUAAAGGACUUUUGGAGAGAUUUUACAUUAGAUAUAUGUUGCUGUCUACUAAAGUAAUGUGCCGCUGUCUGCUCCUUUUUUUUUAUCUGGCGUUGCACCUCUCUCUCUCUCUCUCUCCAAUGAUCUUAUCUCUAUUUCUUUCCUGUUACACUUAUUAUUAUCUCUCUUUCUACCUCACCAUUUUUAGUAGAAACUAGAAUACCCACAAAGCAGGACAAUUCUGUCAUAUCACUUAAGCUCUGAGCCUGCAAUUUUUUUGAAAUAACUAAAGGGUACUCUACUUUUCUUUGUUCUUUUCUAUAAUUUUCUACUUUAGCUUCUAGCUUUAUUUCCUUUUGAAUUGUUGCCUUCUUUUUAUUUCUCUCUGUUUGUUUCUUGAUGAUAAAAUCGCGAGCUUUGUUGGUUAGUAUGUUGUUGUUAUAAUUAUUGUUAUUAUGGUUACUAGUAAAAUGCUACAACUAUUAUAACUAUUAUGGAGAAUCUGCUAUUCUAUCUAAUAUCUCCACACUUUUAAAGAAUAUGGCUUCAAGACUUAAAACUUAGAAUGUUAUACGGAGUCCUCCAGUCGUAUAAUCAUAAAUUAAAAAAUUACGCACUGUGGUGAAAGACAUGUUACACUAGCCAUCUUGCAGACAGACUUAAGGUUUUCUUUUCUUAAAUGCUUGGUCAUUGUUCUCCCUUUAAUAAGUACUAGUUCAUUUUUUCGUAAGCUGGAGGCAGAUUGCCAAAUGGUAUCCAGGAACAUUGGUUAAGAUUCAUGACGUUUGUUUUGGUUUUGUGUCAAGGAAAAUUUUGGAAAGGUGAAAAAGUAUAUUUUGGGUCCAAUAAUGAUUGCGUAAUUUAGUAUAAGUUAGUCUGGUACUUGGCUAGAAUUUAAUUGAACUUAUCACUUCUUUGGCUAGUCAACUUACUUCUCGUGAAUAUGGUUAUCUAUCUGUGCAUUCGAUAAUUUAAGGUGUUAUCUGUUCAUUUUCCCUUUAAAGUGUUUAUUUUCUUCUUUAGUUAUUUAUUCUUUGAUACUAAACUCAAAUAAAUUUGUUAUUUUAACAGAUCAAAAAUUUAAAAUCUGAAGAACCUAUAAUUGAAGAAAGUGUAGAGCAAGUUGAAGUUCAAGAGGUUUUUGGUUCGUCAUCGAUGGUUUAAAGACACUGUCUUAUGUACAUAUAUAUGCUGCCAUUUUAUUUUUAUUCUUUUUAGGAAUUAUUUAAAAUGAUGCUUAACUCACCUCACUUUAUGCUUCUAGUUGUCUCCUAUCUGGGUUUGCAUUAUUUUUACUUUUCAUUAUUUUAGCAAGAUGGGUUUGUUACAAUUUGGAUUGGUUUCUCGUAAAUAUGAUACUUUAGUUUUUUGUAUUA
This 3093-nucleotide long non-coding RNA is filed under the name Nicotiana tabacum (common tobacco). Its description in RNAcentral is "long non-coding RNA (NTAB_LNC007953)". Lineage: Eukaryota; Viridiplantae; Streptophyta; Magnoliopsida; Solanales; Solanaceae. The record is from RNAcentral.